Molecule: ribosomal RNA, 465 nt
Filed under: uncultured bacterium
Lineage: Bacteria
Description: bacterial SSU rRNA
Rfam family: Bacterial small subunit ribosomal RNA
Source: RNAcentral
CUGGCGGCGUGCUUCAUACAUGCAAGUCGAACGAGAAGCUGACUUCGGUCAGUGGAAAGUGGCGGACGGGUGAGUAAUAUGUAGAGAAUCUGCCCUUGAGUGGGGGACAACAGAGGGAAACUUCUGCUAAUACCCCAUAUGAGCUAACGUUGAAAUAGUUAUCUUGAAAACUCCGGUGCUCAAGGAUGAGUCUGCAUCUGAUUAGCUAGUUGGCGGUGUAAUGGACCACCAAGGCGACGAUCAGUAGCUGGUUUGAGAGGAUGAUCAGCCACAAUGGGACUGAGACACGGCCCAUACUCCUACGGGAGGCAGCAGUAGGGAAUUUUGCGCAAUGGGCGAAAGCCUGAACCGCAGCAACGCCGCGUGAACGAUUUAAGCCCUUCGGGGUGUAAAGUUCUGUCAGUAGGGACGAAUUUUGACGGUACCUACAGAGGAAGCACCGGCUAACUCCGUGCCAGCAGCUGC